UACGAAGGGAGCUAGCGUUGUUCGGAAUUACUGGGCGUAAAGCGCGCGCAGGCGGUCUUCCAAGUCAGUGGUGAAAGCCCGGAGCUCAACUCCGGAACUGCCAUUGAAACUGUAAGACUUGAGGACGAGAGAGGUGAGUGGAAUUCCCAGUGUAGAGGUGAAAUUCGUAGAUAUUGGGAAGAACACCGGUGGCGAAGGCGGCUCACUGGCUCGUAUCUGACGCUCAGGCGCGACAGCGUGGGGAUCAAACAGG
RNAcentral lists this ribosomal RNA (253 nucleotides) under uncultured bacterium. Its description in RNAcentral is "partial 16S ribosomal RNA". It matches the Rfam family "Bacterial small subunit ribosomal RNA", at positions 524 to 776 of the family's 1533-position model. The record is from RNAcentral.